UACGUAGGGACCAAGCGUUGUCCGGAAUCAUUGGGCGUAAAGCGCGCGUAGGUGGCCAUUUAAGUCCGCUGUGAAAGUCAGAGGCUCAACCUUUGAAAGCCGGUGGAUACUGGAUGGCUAGAGUACGGAAGAGGCGAGUGGAAUUCCUGGUGUAGCGGUGAAAUGCGCAGAUAUCAGGAAGAACACCCGUGGCGAAGGCGGUUCUCUGGGACGGUACUGACGCUGAGACGCGAAAGCGUGGGGAGCGAACAGG
This 253-nucleotide ribosomal RNA is filed under the name uncultured bacterium. Its description in RNAcentral is "partial 16S ribosomal RNA". It matches the Rfam family "Bacterial small subunit ribosomal RNA", at positions 524 to 776 of the family's 1533-position model. The record is from RNAcentral.